RNAcentral lists this Y RNA (97 nucleotides) under Carlito syrichta (Philippine tarsier). RNAcentral's name for it is "Y RNA (ENSTSYG00000020585.2)". It matches the Rfam family "Y RNA". From Rfam's summary of the family: Y RNAs are components of the Ro ribonucleoprotein particle (Ro RNP), in association with Ro60 and La proteins. The Y RNAs and Ro60 and La proteins are well conserved, but the function of the Ro RNP is not known. In humans the RNA component can be one of four small RNAs -- hY1, hY3, hY4 and hY5. The record is from Rfam by way of RNAcentral. Lineage: Eukaryota; Metazoa; Chordata; Mammalia; Primates; Tarsiidae.
AGCUACUGUAAGUGCUGUGGUGUUUUCAACUAAUUGAUCACAAUUCAUUACAGAUUUUUUGUUCUGCACUCCCACAGCUUCACUUUACUAGCUUGAA